UACGUAGGGUGCAGGCGUUAAUCGGAAUUACUGGGCGUAAAGCGUGCGCAGGCGGCUCCUUAAGUCAGAUGUGAAAUCCCCGGGCUUAACCUGGGAACUGCGUUUGAAACUGAGGGGCUAGAGUGUGGAAGAGGGGGGUGGAAUUUCCGGUGUAGCGGUGAAAUGCGUAGAUAUCGGAAGGAACAUCAGUGGCGAAAGCGACUUCCUGGACCAAUACUGACGCUCAUGUGCGAAAGCGUGGGGAGCAAACAGG
Molecule: ribosomal RNA, 253 nt
Filed under: uncultured bacterium
Lineage: Bacteria
Description: partial 16S ribosomal RNA
Rfam family: Bacterial small subunit ribosomal RNA
Source: RNAcentral